CGAGUGUAGGGUUCCUAGCGAGCCCAACCUCCCACCCGUGUUUACUGUACCUUAGUUGCUUCGGCGGGCCCGCCAUUCAUGGCCGCCGGGGGCUCUCAGCCCCGGGCCCGCGCCCGCCGGAGACACCACGAACUCUGUCUGAUCUAGUGAAGUCUGAGUUGAUUGUAUCGCAAUCAGUUAAAACUUUCAACAAUGGAUCUCUUGGUUCCGGCAUCGAUGAAGAACGCAGCGAAAUGCGAUAACUAGUGUGAAUUGCAGAAUUCCGUGAAUCAUCGAGUCUUUGAACGCACAUUGCGCCCCCUGGUAUUCCGGGGGGCAUGCCUGUCCGAGCGUCAUUGCUGCCCAUCAAGCACGGCUUGUGUGUUGGGUCGUCGUCCCCUCUCCGGGGGGGACGGGCCCCAAAGGCAGCGGCGGCACCGCGUCCGAUCCUCGAGCGUAUGGGGCUUUGUCACCCGCUCUGUAGGCCCGGCCGGCGCUUGCCGAACGCAAAUCAAUCUUUUUCCAGGUUGACCUCGGAUCAGGUAGGGAUACCCGCUGAACUUAA
Molecule: ribosomal RNA, 544 nt
Filed under: Aspergillus flavus
Lineage: Eukaryota; Fungi; Ascomycota; Eurotiomycetes; Eurotiales; Aspergillaceae
Description: eukaryotic LSU rRNA
Rfam family: 5.8S ribosomal RNA (bases 182-335)
Source: RNAcentral